GACGAACGCUGGCGGCGUGCCUAAUACAUGCGAGUAGAACGCUGAAGGCGGAGCUUGCUUCUCCGGAUGAGUUGCGAACGGGUGAGUAACGCGUAGGUAACCUGCCUGGUAGCGGGGGAUAACUAUUGGAAACGAUAGCUAAUACCGCAUAAGAGUAGAUGUCGCAUGACAUUUGCUUAAAAGGUGCAACUGCACCACUACCACAUGGACCUGCGUUGUAUUAGCUAGUUGGUGAGGUAACGGCUCACCAAGGCAACGAUACAUAGCCGACCUGAGAGGGUGGUCGGCCAGACUGGGAGGGAGACACGCCCCAGAGUCCUUGGGGAGGGGGCAGGAGGGAAUCUUGAGCAAUGGACGGAAGUCUGAGCGCGAAACGCGGCGGGCGGGAGGAAGAUUGUCGGAUCGUAAAGCUCUGUUGUAGGAGAAGAACGCGUGUGAGAGUGGAAAGUUCACACUGUGACGGUAUCUUACAAGAAAGGGACGGCUAACUACGUG
This 495-nucleotide ribosomal RNA is filed under the name uncultured bacterium. Its description in RNAcentral is "partial 16S ribosomal RNA". It matches the Rfam family "Bacterial small subunit ribosomal RNA", at positions 28 to 507 of the family's 1533-position model. The record is from RNAcentral.